RNAcentral lists this ribosomal RNA (497 nucleotides) under uncultured bacterium. RNAcentral's name for it is "partial 16S ribosomal RNA". It matches the Rfam family "Bacterial small subunit ribosomal RNA", at positions 28 to 507 of the family's 1533-position model. The record is from RNAcentral.
GAUGAACGCUGGCGGCGUGCCUAAUACAUGCAAGUCGAGCGAACAGACGAGGAGCUUGCUCCUCUGACGUUAGCGGCGGACGGGUGAGUAACACGUGGAUAACCUACCUAUAAGACUGGGAUAACUUCGGGAAACCGGAGCUAAUACCGGAUAAUAUAUUGAACCGCAUGGUUCAAUAGUGAAAGACGGUUUUGCUGUCACUUAUAGAUGGAUCCGCGCCGCAUUAGCUAGUUGGUAAGGUAACGGCUUACCAAAGCAACGAUGCGUAGCCGACCUGAGAGGGUGAUCGGCCACAAUGGAACUGAGACACGGUCCAGAAUCCUACGGGAGGCAGCAGUAGGGAAUCUUCCGCAAUGGGCGAAAGCUUGACGGAGCAACGCCGCGUGAGUGAUGAAGGUCUUCGGAUCGUAAAACUCUGUUAUUAGGGAAGAACAAAUGUGUAAGUAACUAUGCACGUCUUGACGGUACCUAAUCAGAAAGCCACGGCUAACUACGUG